GACGAACGCUGGCGGCGUGCUUAACACAUGCAAGUCGAACGGAAAGGCCCUGCUUUUGUGGGGUGCUCGAGUGGCGAACGGGUGAGUAACACGUGAGUAACCUGCCCUUGACUUUGGGAUAACUUCAGGAAACUGGGGCUAAUACCGGAUAGGAGCUCCUGCUGCAUGGUGGGGGUUGGAAAGUUUCGGCGGUUGGGGAUGGACUCGCGGCUUAUCAGCUUGUUGGUGGGGUAGUGGCUUACCAAGGCUUUGACGGGUAGCCGGCCUGAGAGGGUGACCGGCCACAUUGGGACUGAGAUACGGCCCAGACUCCUACGGGAGGCAGCAGUGGGUAAUAUUGCACAAUGGGCGGAAGCCUGAUGCAGCAACGGCGCGUGCGGGAUGACGGCCUUCGGGUUGUAAACCGCUUUCGCCUGUGACGAAGCGUGAGUGACGGUAAUGGGUAAAGAAGCACCGGCUAACUACGUG
Molecule: ribosomal RNA, 468 nt
Filed under: uncultured bacterium
Lineage: Bacteria
Description: partial 16S ribosomal RNA
Rfam family: Bacterial small subunit ribosomal RNA
Source: RNAcentral